AAAUGACAUAUCGAAGUAAAACCAAAUGGGAAAAGUUAAAUAUUCCCCUUCCACUGGAUAUUUUAGUGGCCAAAUUACUUUUUUAAUUUAUGAUUAUUCAUUCUCCUUAUUCAUUCAUCCAUAUAGCCAUCUGCUUACUUAAAAAGAAUCUAUGGAACAUAAGCUAUGUGAUAAGUACAUGGAAUAAAGAGAAGAUAUGUUUGGCAUAUCUUAAAGAAGCAGAAACAUCACUGAAUAUCCAUCAGUGAAAAUCUAAAAAUAUGAAAACCAAGUCUUCAGAGCGGCAGCAAUGAAUCAAACCUAUUACUGAGACUUUAAGCCUCUCCAGCUGCAUGUGAAGGAGGUGUGAAAAAAUGAAAGUUCAAUAAUCUAAAAAAAAGUAGUGCCUUUCCGCACUUUGUGGGAUGGUGGUGAUUGUGGAGCACACAAAGUAGUAUUCACUCAGUGGGUGAUUUUUGCAGUAGCAGUCUGAUCUAAGUCUAAAUCUCAAUCCAAAAUUAAAACUCAAGAUGUGUUUCAUUGCUUCUGAGCCAACAUUUUUCUGUACUGUAUUCUCUAGCUAAGCUCCUCUAUGUCUCUGAUCAUCUUGUGAUUAUACCUUAUUUCAAGUGAAAGUCUUUAGAACAUCCCUUUUGAAAAAAAAAUGUGCAAUUUUAAAACACACCUGCCUGGAUGAUUGCUUCUUAUUUUCAUUACCUCAUUUGGAAAAUCAUAAAUUGUCUCUUAUAUAAGAUGGAAUAGUAAAAUGGAGUGGAAAAUGUCUCCAGAAUUUCAUGUUUCUUACUGUGUUAUCCUGGGAGAUCCUCAAUUUACAGAAUAUAGCUACAAGGAUUUUUCAGUCUUUUAACUUGUGGUGUUCAAAAUGAUAUAUUAUGAUAAAUAUGAAGAGAUAAAUUUUCUUUUGGUGGAAAGAUAAAAAUUGAUUGCAACCUUGUUUUUCUUUCAUAUGGUUUUGUUAUUACACUCAAAUAAUAAGUUAAUAAAAUGUACUGAUAGUGUUUCAAAUAAACUUUGAUGAAAAUCAUGAUUUCACAUACACUCAAAAAGCUAUUUGUAAUUGCUAAUGUAACGGAGUACAUAAUGAAAUUAAGUAACUAGUUUGUUAUGAGCUCUUUGUACUUAAAGCUCUGUCUAACAGAGCUUUGCUUCAACAAAAUAGCAUCAGAUCUCCAGGUUUACCGACAAAAUUGUCUUAAUGUAAAAUUACUGAGCAUAAAGAUAACCUCAUAUAGCAAGGAAAAAAACUUAUGUAAAUAACCACUCAGAUGACAAG
RNAcentral lists this long non-coding RNA (1273 nucleotides) under Pan troglodytes (chimpanzee). Its description in RNAcentral is "lncRNA (ENSPTRG00000053880.1)". Lineage: Eukaryota; Metazoa; Chordata; Mammalia; Primates; Hominidae. The record is from RNAcentral.